RNAcentral lists this long non-coding RNA (2098 nucleotides) under Canis lupus familiaris (dog). RNAcentral's name for it is "lncRNA (ENSCAFG00000055764.1, ENSCAFG00805000121.1)". The record is from RNAcentral. Lineage: Eukaryota; Metazoa; Chordata; Mammalia; Carnivora; Canidae.
UGUGCCAGGCUCUGCACAAAGCUCUUGGUACUCAGUAACUGUUACCACCCAGGAGGUAGAUUCUGUUACUAUCUCAUUCUGCAGAUAGAGACACUAAGGUCAGUGGAGAUGAUAGAGAGUUUCCACAGUCUCUCAGCUGGGAAGUGGCAGGGCUGGGCCUGGAACCAUCUCUGUGCAACUUCAAAACCUGUGUUAGCAACCCCUGGGCUGUGGGGCAUCAUGAAUGCAUAUGUUCCUGCUACACCCUGGGCUCACAGGAAGGUGGGGCCAUGCCCUUUCAACUCCACCUCUCUCAUGGUGGUUGGCAAUGCUCUGUGUGGAGUAGUGCUCAAUAAAUGCUUUUGGACUGGAUGAUUGGGACAGUGAACUAUGCAUAGAAUUCACAGGCAGUGGGAAGGCUCUAGGAGCUGAGCACAGGGGACAAAAGGGUAAGGAGACUUGGAGACUCCAGGCUUCUUAGUGGAGGGUGCACUCAAAGCAGGCUGGGAAGGCUCUGACCUGUCCACAUUAGGAGGAUGGCUGCCCUUGGAGGCUGACUGCUGGGGCCUACUACCCUGUGAGUCGCUGACACUGCUUGGGGUAUGGAUGCGAAGCAGGGUUUGGGCACAGGGUGGGGGCUCAUUCUGGUCAAACUUCUAGGCAUAAAAUCUUUGGGACAAGGGACUGCCUAUGGGACCGAAAUGCAUUCUUAGGGCAGCCAGAGCAAGAGUCUUUAGCCAUAGGCUUUCUGGUCUUGGGGCCCCACUGUAGCUCAGAAAGGGUUAAUCAUAGUCUGUGGCUCAGAUUUGGAAUGGGAGGAGAAGGACAUGGGAUGCAAAAAUAAAUGCCAUUUACAAUCCUAAGAGCCACAGUGUUUGUUGAGCACGUACUGGGUGUCAGGUAUGUGCCAUGUCAUCUGUAAUUGUGAUCACAACCCCAUUUUGUGGUCUUGUCUCAGCCCUGCACAGUGACCUUGGUUCGGUCAUCACUCCCUCUGAGCCUUUUUCUCUCUCAGUAAAACCUGGGACUCGCCUCACCCACUGUAGGGGUUCCAGUGUUGGAGACAUCUUUGGAAUGAAUGGGAUGUGGCAGUUUCUGGUAGGACUGGUCAGCAUGGCCCUCUGUGUGGGGCACUUCUGGUCUGAGGGCCAGCCUUGACCCCCUGGGCAGCCUCAGUGGAGGAAGCUAAGAGCCCGAGCCAGGCAAUGGGGUCCAUGAGGGCCUGGAACCACAGCUGUGAGUUCUGAUCUCUGCAUCACUGAUUACAAGCUGUGUCACCUUGGUGAGUCGCUUCACUGUGUGGACUUCAGUUACCUCAUCUGGAAAAUGAGAAUAUUCCCAGCAGUAGCCUCAGAACUCAGGAUGAUUCCAUGCAGACUAAGUGAAACCCCACUUCAAGUCCUAAGCCCAGUGUCCAGGACACAGGGACGGCUCCAUUAGUGGUCUCUGCUGUUCAUUCUGUUGUUGGUAUCUUUGGAGGUGUCAUUAGAGCUGUUGGCCGAAACUUCCAGUUCCUCAACCUCCCAAGGCCGUGGUAGGAUCAUGCUUCCUGGACGGCUUGCGGUGGGUCGGGUCACAUGACCAGGUCUGCCCAGUGACCUGCACAGCUCUUCCAGGCCGAGCAUUUCACUGCCGAGGGCGACAUGCCAGGACACUCUUUCCCUCUGACAGCCCGAAGUGGGAACGCUUAGUGAGCAGGAGCCUCCCCACCGGGGAGGAUGUGUGGUGUGAACGAGAAAUAAAUUUUUGUUGUUUUAAGCUCUUGAGAUUUGGCGGUUUUGUUGUAGCAAGAUAGCCUCACCUAGACUGACUGAUAAGACUACCGACGUCAUCGUUAUCACCCAGAUGCCCCCCACACCAGGGGUCCCCACAAGAGAACCAUGAGCGUAGAGGAGGCCUGCCCAAAAAAUACAACUUCAUUGUUGACCUACUUCGAGAAUCAUUCCACUCAGACUCUCACUCAUUUAUUCACCUUCUUGCUAAUUUGUUGGCAUCAUUCAUUCAUUCAUUCAUUCAUUUGUCAAAAGUCUCUUGAGCACCUGUUUCAGAAACCCAGGGGGAGGUAGCCAUUGUUCUGCAGAGCUGCUUCAGGUGGCCCUUGGGGGACCGGGCCAGCCUC